This is a long non-coding RNA of Sander lucioperca (pikeperch), 1909 nucleotides long. RefSeq lists it as uncharacterized. The record is from RefSeq and is a predicted model, not a curated record. Lineage: Eukaryota; Metazoa; Chordata; Actinopteri; Perciformes; Percidae. The transcript has 3 exons.
GUGCGUGCGUGUUACUACGUAUGAGCCUGUGCAACUACAGGGCAGGAAGACGAGGGACAAAUGGAUUCCAUGUUUGCAGGAAAACACGCUGGAGGCACAGGAAAACUUUGUUGUUUAUGAAGAACACGUGAAACCAAUCAAAUCUGAAUUAUCUUCCUGUUGUUCCAGCUUUUGUCGUUUGCAGUUUUUAGUUCGCUCGCCAGCAGUGUCACCACCCAGCGAGCAGGUCUGUGCCUGUGCAUGAAAGAUGGUUAAAGGAGCUUUCCGGCUUCUAUGAAGUGAAACUGAAAGGACAGAGACUUACUUAUUUGGCUGAGCGAUGCCCCAUAAGGAUUACCUUCCCAGCUCCCAGGUUUCCAUUCCUCCACUGUCAGUGAAUGCAACAUUUCCCUGUCCCGAUGGAGGUCCGACGAGACGAACAUGCAAUAAUCCGCUCCAGUCGUCCAGAAUCAGCGGGCCUUCGGAGUCCAGGCUCGGUCCUGGGACUCUGUGGCUUUCAUCUCAAUGUGAGUCAGGAGUUGAUUCAAACAUGGAGUGAUGGGAGAAUUAACCCCUGGGACCCAGCUUUCAAUGGGCUCAGCUAAGAGAUUAUAUGUGUUGAUGGCAGGCUUUUAUAUGCACUGGGCUUUCAAAACUUCAACUGUUAAAUCAAGGCACAGGAUCUUCACCUUAUGUCUUUAGUAUACGUACCCCCUCUCCUGCCUCCCGGCACCUCAUGUAUCAGCUUUCUACCCUGAAACUGUGCGUGAGACUGAGUAACAUUUCCUCUGAAGUGACACGGCCCACAACUUUACAAAUUAUACUGUACAUAUUCAGAGCCGGAGGACUCUCAUCAGACUGCCACUGGGAGUUUACGUUCGAUGUGCAGCCUCAGAUUCCCAUGACUGUCACUGAGCCUUUGGGAUUCAAGCUCUUUUUUAAGUGCAUGUGAAGAUAUGUGAAAUAGUGCUUGAGAGGAAGUGCACAGACGUGAAUGGAGGAACAGAAACACGCAGUUGGUGUGAGAUGAAUUGGAUCAUCCUCAAGAUUGUAAUUAAUUUGAGUUUGAAGCACAACAUCUUUGGUGGUCCUCGCAGGCUUCCAAAAGACGGCAAAGAGGGAAAAAAAGAAAAACUAAAAUCCCUGUCCGUUUUCGCAGACUUGAACAACAUGUUGCAUGCAUCCUUUGGUUUCAACAUCCAUGCCGAAGCCAAAGGAUGUUUUUGCAAAACAAGAAGCCACACGCCUCAAAUGUGACUGACACAAGGGAAGUUAAGAGGAGGAAGAAAACAAAAGAUUAGACAACAAGUAACAGUAAAUAAGAGAACACAGAACAAGAGACAACUAAAGUUACUGGUUUGCAUUUCCAUUUCCUCUGAUUCAGAAGACUAUGGCGUCUGGCUUAACCUCCUUCUGCCUGACCUGUUACAUUUCAACCCUCACUUUCCUGGAAAUGCUCCCUGCUGAGACUGUUCAUACGUCUUCAAGGCCUGAGCCAACUAGCAUUUAAAACAGCUACAUUUUGUGGUGAAAUUUCAAUAAAAUGAUCUCAUCCAUGCAAAUUAUUUGCGUCAAGAUUAACUUUGCACCAUAAUAGCAAGCCGUCUUGAGAGGGCUGACCUUUUAGAGAACAGAGAGCCAGAGAAUCAAAAAUGUAGGAAGCUAUCGUAACGUGUUAGCACGUGCGCUGGAUGAUCACUUUUAGGAUAACCUGCACUAUAAAAGAGACAAGGUUUAGACCAAAGUCAAUGGUAUAAAUAUGUCCCUUAAUUGAAUAAAUUGUGUGAAUUUAUUGUCUCAUAAACGACUGAGCUAAUUAGCUUGCUAACUGACAGUUAGCAUGUCCGCUAGCUCAGAAAGAGUUCUCCUCUUCGUCUUUAUUGAAUAAAAUGACGUACAAUUCUGAAGAAAAAAAAAUGCCAGGGGCAAU